RNAcentral lists this ribosomal RNA (166 nucleotides) under uncultured bacterium. Its description in RNAcentral is "partial 16S rRNA". It matches the Rfam family "Bacterial small subunit ribosomal RNA", at positions 354 to 511 of the family's 1533-position model. The record is from RNAcentral.
UAGGGGAGUCUUCCACAAUGGACGAAAGUACUGAUGGAGCAACGCCGCGUGAGUGAAGAAGGGUUUCGGCUCGUAAAACUCUGUUGUUAAAGAAGAACAUAUCUGAGAGUAACUGUUCAGGUAUUGACGGUAUUUAACCAGAAAGCCACGGCUAACUACGUGCCAG